UACGUAGGGGGCAAGCGUUGUCCGGAAUCAUUGGGCGUAAAGAGCGUGUAGGCGGCUCGAUAAGUCUGCUGUGAAAGUCGGGGGCUCAACCCUCGGAUGCCGGUGGAUACUGUCGGGCUAGAGUGCGGAAGAGGCGAGUGGAAUUCCUGGUGUAGCGGUGAAAUGCGCAGAUAUCAGGAGGAACACCAAUUGCGAAGGCAGCUCGCUGGGACGUGACUGACGCUGAGACGCGAAAGCGUGGGGAGCAAACAGG
Molecule: ribosomal RNA, 253 nt
Filed under: uncultured bacterium
Lineage: Bacteria
Description: partial 16S ribosomal RNA
Rfam family: Bacterial small subunit ribosomal RNA
Source: RNAcentral